RNAcentral lists this ribosomal RNA (212 nucleotides) under uncultured bacterium. Its description in RNAcentral is "partial 16S ribosomal RNA". It matches the Rfam family "Bacterial small subunit ribosomal RNA", at positions 29 to 268 of the family's 1533-position model. The record is from RNAcentral.
AGCGAACGCUGGCGGCAUGCUUAACACAUGCAAGUCGCACGGGCAGCAAUGUCAGUGGCGGACGGGUGAGUAACGCGUAGGUAUCUAUCCUUGGGUGGGGGACAACUGUGGGAAACUACAGCUAAUACCGCAUGACAACUGAGGUUUAAAGGCGCAAGUCGCCUGGGGAGGAGCCUGCGUACGAUUAGCUAGUUGGUGGGGUAAAGGCCUAC